RNAcentral lists this long non-coding RNA (340 nucleotides) under Dromaius novaehollandiae (emu). RNAcentral's name for it is "lncRNA (ENSDNVG00000007204.1)". The record is from RNAcentral. Lineage: Eukaryota; Metazoa; Chordata; Aves; Casuariiformes; Dromaiidae.
CCCCAGCGAAGGGAAACAAAACAAAACGCCGGCACCGCCGCGCUCUCCCUCCUUCUCCUCCUGGCAUUUGGUGGUGGUUUUUUUUUCUUGGGGACUCUCCUUUCUCCUGCCAGACUGACUUGCACCUUCUCGAUUAUUUCUCUUCCCCUCGUUUUUUUAUACUCUUCUCCCUGCUUCCAAACCCUGUGUCUGUGUGUUUUAAUACUAUCACAACCUCUGCUAAAAAUAGAUCUUUUUAUAUACCCUUCCUCCUCUCUGAUCCCAUCCAACACCCCUUGUUAAGUGUGAACCAAAGAAGAAGGCUAGCAUCGGAUAAUAGUCAUUGUGAAGGCUUCAGAAU